UGCCACCUUUUCAUCUUGUAGAUGAGCUCGGUGUUAAGCUGCAGGUCGCCCGCUCUGCAUAUGUAAAAGUCUAUAUUAAGCUGCCUAGAUCUCUUCGCGUCUCUAUGCAUCGCGAGAUAUCUCUCUGUAAACCCAACUAUAUUAAUUAUAUAAUUAUUUUAAAUGUUUUAAUGAUAACACGCGUGUUUCUUAGGUAACGCUACAUGCCACGGCGCCCUUAUUGACUUUCAAGGUGUUUGUUUUGCCGAUUCGACCACGGAUGAUGUUCCCCGCGAACCGAGUGAUGAUCAGAUCAUAGACCUGACCAUCGAACACGAGGAGGAAGUGAUAGAACUUUCAGAUCCCUUGUGGGAGGAGGGGUUCAACGGCGACGAGGCAGAGGUCCUACCGCUAUACGAAAACUGUCUUGGGUGUAACGAAUGUGAGCCCGGCUGUAGCACCUCGCAGCAGAACGGUUGGGAUCGGACAUCUGGGGCUAGCGAGCAUAGCGCGAAUGCUGAUGAUGAUGAGGCGGACUGGUCCAGGUCGCAGAUAAAC
Misgurnus anguillicaudatus (oriental weatherfish) is the source of this 537-nucleotide non-coding RNA. The record is from RefSeq and is a predicted model, not a curated record. Lineage: Eukaryota; Metazoa; Chordata; Actinopteri; Cypriniformes; Cobitidae.